CAUGCAGUAGAACGCUGAAGAGAGGAGCUUGCUCUUCUUGGAUGAGUUGCGAACGGGUGAGUAACGCGUAGGUAACCUGCCUUGUAGCGGGGGAUAACUAUUGGAAACGAUAGCUAAUACCGCAUAACAAUGGAUGACACAUGUCAUUUAUUUGAAAGGGGCAAUUGCUCCACUACAAGAUGGACCUGCGUUGUAUUAGCUAGUAGGUGAGGUAAUGGCUCACCUAGGCGACGAUACAUAGCCGACCUGAGAGGGUGAUCGGCCACACUGGGACUGAGACACGGCCCAGACUCCUACGGGAGGCAGCAGUAGGGAAUCUUCGGCAAUGGGGGCAACCCUGACCGAGCAACGCCGCGUGAGUGAAGAAGGUUUUCGGAUCGUAAAGCUCUGUUGUAAGUCAAGAACGGGUGUGAGAGUGGAAAGUUCACACUGUGACGGUAGCUUACCAGAAAGGGACGGCUAACUACGUGCCAGCAGCCGCGGUAAUACGUAGGUCCCGAGCGUUGUCCGGAUUUAUUGGGCGUAAAGCGAGCGCAGGCGGUUUGAUAAGUCUGAAGUUAAAGGCUGUGGCUCAACCAUAGUUCGCUUUGGAAACUGUCAAACUUGAGUGCAGAAGGGGAGAGUGGAAUUCCAUGUGUAGCGGUGAAAUGCGUAGAUAUAUGGAGGAACACCGGUGGCGAAAGCGGCUCUCUGGUCUGUAACUGACGCUGAGGCUCGAAAGCGUGGGGAGCGAACAGGAUUAGAUACCCUGGUAGUCCACGCCGUAAACGAUGAGUGCUAGGUGUUGGAUCCUUUCCGGGAUUCAGUGCCGCAGCUAACGCAUUAAGCACUCCGCCUGGGGAGUACGACCGCAAGGUUGAAACUCAAAGGAAUUGACGGGGGCCCGCACAAGCGGUGGAGCAUGUGGUUUAAUUCGAAGCAACGCGAAGAACCUUACCAGGUCUUGACAUCCCGAUGCUAUUUCUAGAGAUAGAAAGUUACUUCGGUACAUCGGUGACAGGUGGUGCAUGGUUGUCGUCAGCUCGUGUCGUGAGAUGUUGGGUUAAGUCCCGCAACGAGCGCAACCCCUAUUGUUAGUUGCCAUCAUUCAGUUGGGCACUCUAGCGAGACUGCCGGUAAUAAACCGGAGGAAGGUGGGGAUGACGUCAAAUCAUCAUGCCCCUUAUGACCUGGGCUACACACGUGCUACAAUGGUUGGUACAACGAGUUGCGAGUCGGUGACGGCGAGCUAAUCUCUUAAAGCCAAUCUCAGUUCGGAUUGUAGGCUGCAACUCGCCUACAUGAAGUCGGAAUCGCUAGUAAUCGCGGAUCAGCACGCCGCGGUGAAUACGUUCCCGGGCCUUGUACACACCGCCCGUCACACCACGAGAGUUUGUAACACCCGAA
RNAcentral lists this ribosomal RNA (1386 nucleotides) under Streptococcus thermophilus. RNAcentral describes it as "bacterial SSU rRNA". It matches the Rfam family "Bacterial small subunit ribosomal RNA", at positions 54 to 1425 of the family's 1533-position model. Lineage: Bacteria; Bacillati; Bacillota; Bacilli; Lactobacillales; Streptococcaceae. The record is from RNAcentral.